This 482-nucleotide long non-coding RNA is filed under the name Felis catus (domestic cat). RNAcentral's name for it is "lncRNA (ENSFCAG00000042845.2)". Lineage: Eukaryota; Metazoa; Chordata; Mammalia; Carnivora; Felidae. The record is from RNAcentral.
UACUUAGAAGAACUGGCGGGACAUCUGCAGCUCUUUCCCAUCCCUGCAAUCUGCUUUGACACCACCAUGUUAACAGCUGAAUCCUUUAUGUGAUAAUUAUACGAACAAAUGACAAAAAAUAUUGCCUUGAGAAGUCACUCGCUGUGCCAUUGGUUGGCCCAUGACUCAGCAGAGAGUUCAGAGAUGAAGGCCUAACAGACUGGCCAGUGAUGGAAUGGAUGCUUCAGAGCUAUUUCAGGAGGGCUACAAGAAUCCCCCGGUUUAGUCCUACUACAAAUCCAUCGUUGAUCCUGGACGCAGGCUACAGCUGGCAAAGGAAAGGAAAUACAGGGUUCAAAGUAAGAUCUUUCCCCAAGAGCAUAUUUUACAAUGAAACAAAGGAUGAGACCCCAGAGUACAGAAUGAAUCUACGUGUGUACUGGGAACUGGGAGAUGAGGGCAAACGUGAGUGCAAAGAGAGAAAGAAGAUGGAGGCCCCAUGA